GAACAUAAAGUGGCUAAGUUGACAUUACCUGCCAGAAAACUUCCAAUCUCAUACAUCCACCACUCAGCACAUAACAUGACCAUGCUGGGGAUGGCCAAGUGAAUGAAUGAGCUCCAGUCCUGCAGACACUCUUUAGACCAACCUGUGUUGGCAAUCAGUGAAUCAAUAAAUCAUUCAACUAUCAACUAUGUUUCAUUGAUGCUAAUACAGUGUAAGAUGGACAAUAAUUUAUAGGUCAUUCCAGUAAUGGAAUGUCUUCAACUGUCUGACAUUUACACCACCCACAGUUUCUGAGUGCAACACCACUGUGAAAAAAUAAAAAUCCUUGGUCUGUAACAAUUUGCCAGACUUAAUGUAGGUGCUAACUACAAAUAAAAGUCAAUACAUCAUCACAAUGUUAUAUUUUGAAAACUGUGUUGAAUUAAACAUGUAUAUGAGGCUGUGAUCCUGCACUCUCACUGAAGUUACAUAGUGCAUUGAGCCUCUUAUUUUAGGUUAAAAAGUUACAUAAUGUUGAUUUAAACCAAAAGCGUCCCUCUCUGACUUUUCGCUGUACCUCAUUAACAAAUGGGAACAUUUGGAGACUUAUUAUAUAGUAUGCAGGGUCACUAUCUUCAAAUGCAAAUGUUGUCCUCACCUCCCCAGGUGGCCUUAUGAAGACCUUUCCAAAGGAUAUAAGCAUAGAGAAGUCCUGCCAUGCAGAACUGGGAAAGGGCAUUGGAUGCUGCAGAACCUCUGUAAAGAAAAUAGGUGCAGUGAGGGGCUGGAUGGAGUUUCACACCACCAGGGCUGUGGACGCACACCUGUGGCUUAAAAGCCGUAAUCUUCACUCUACCUGCUGCCAGAUGAUUUUGCUGCAUGGACAUGCAUUCACUUGUGUUCCCAGCCACCAGUGGCUUCGCAGCCAGGCUCUCUGCAUGUCAACCGUCAGCUGGCACCCUCGCAUCGAGCUCUACCCAAGCCUCCAAACGCCACCUUGUCCACCAGCACCACAGUGAGCAACCUCUCCCCUCUCCAACAGACUCACCAACCGGAGUUUUGCUACACCUUGCCCCUGCAUUUCCCAGUGUUGAAAACUCAAUAAAUCAGCAGAAUCAUCUGGCCCUAAAUAUGGACCCAAAUGCUCCGGGAGAUGACAGACUCAAUCCAGAGUAUCGGUUACACCAUCUCCCAGCUCAGCCACAAGUUUAACCAGUCCACAGCCCAGUCACCUGCAACUCCCUCUGCCACAGCCCCAACUGUGAGUAAUCCCACUGCUACAAACUCGGCCCAACCGCGCUCCCCCCCAACCAGGGAACCUUUUGUUUCACCAACAUUAUUCUGGUGACUUGUUUUUGCAGCAGUUUUUUUAUAACAGCCUUAUGCCUCUGAUAGGUCCAGCAUAGCCGACAGUAUGACGAUAGAAUAUUCAAUAGAUUUCUGUAUCUUGGCAGCUGAGAGUGGCUGGAACGAGCAAGAACUUGUAAGGCUUUAAAGGAGAGGGUUACUGGAGAGUCUACAAGACAAAUCAGCUUCCCAGGAAGCUCAUCUCCCAAGUUAUUUGCCUGGAUAACCAUCUUAGGGAGAGACAGAGAGAGACGGCUUCUACCAGCCAUAGACAUGCUAGCUUCACCCCCAGCCAGAUAUCCCAAUCUCUGCCAGCGCCCCAGAGCGUCUCACACUCUCCCAGGAUCCCCUGAGCUCCGCCUACUGCCCUGGGGAGCCUUUGCAGGGAUCAUCAUGCGGAUCCGCCUUAUAACAAAACAUUCACUCCAUGAAGAAGGAGGGAGAUGUGAGCCCUGUCCGCUGCCCUCCAUGAUUCAACUGGAACACUUCCUGCUCUGCUCGGUGCACCGCUGUAUGCAGCUGUCAGGGAGGCUUCGGAUCGGUCCAGGAUCUCAGCCUGUGUGAGGAGGAGGAGGAGGAGGAGGAGGAGGAGGAGGGAGGAGACACCUGAGGGAGUCAGAGAGAGCCACGCUGACGUCGCCUGCUCACAGACAGAGUGAUGGAUGGACGUCCGUACUGACAGUGAAACCAAACUACUGGCACUGCAGUAUUAUUAUGUUGCUGUACAGUUGUUGUUGUUUUUUGUUGUUGUUGUUGUUUUUUUUUAGAAAGGUUGUGCUUUCUUGAAGUGGUAAAAUAUGGAUACGCCAACGAAGAAAUAAAUUAAGUUUUUUUUUUAAUUUUCAUCCCUGAAUUGUUCGAUUAUAAUUAAAUGGUUGAAUGAUAAUAUAAUUGUAUAAAAAUUGUGUGGUUUUUAGGACUCCCUGGGUCUCCAGUCAGAAUUUGCAUCCGCAAAUAUGCUGUCAAGUAAAUGUAAAUAAAGGAUUUGCAUUGACACAGGUGCAAUCCCAAAGACAAACACUGAAACUGUAACUGAAAACUAAGGGUUGUGUUGACUAGCUGUGGGGACAUCAGUGCUCAGGUGAAUCAUUUAAAAAAAAAACAAAAAAAAAAAAAACA
This is a long non-coding RNA of Acanthopagrus latus (yellowfin seabream), 2445 nucleotides long. RefSeq lists it as uncharacterized. NCBI's taxonomy places the organism in Eukaryota, Metazoa, Chordata, Actinopteri, Spariformes, Sparidae. The record is from RefSeq and is a predicted model, not a curated record. The transcript has 4 exons.